CCUACGGGAGGCAGCAGUGAGGAAUAUUGGUCAAUGGGCGCGAGCCUGAACCAGCCAAGUAGCGUGAAGGAUGACUGCCCUACGGGUUGUAAACUUCUUUUAUAAAGGAAUAAAGUGAGGCACGUGUGCCUUUUUGUAUGUACUUUAUGAAUAAGGAUCGGCUAACUCCGUGCCAGCAGCCGCGGUAAUACGGAGGAUCCGAGCGUUAUCCGGAUUUAUUGGGUUUAAAGGGAGCGUAGAUGGGUUGGUAAGUCAGUUGUGAAAGUUUGCGGGUCAACCGUAAAAUUGCAAUUGAUACUGGCAGCCUUGAGUACAGUUGAGGUAGGCGGAAUUCGUGGUGUAGCGGUGAAAUGCUUAGAUAUCACGAAGAACUCCGAUUGCGAAGGCAGCUUACUAAACUGCCACUGACAUUGAUGCUCGAAAGCGCGGGUAUCGAACAGGAUUAGAUACCCUAGUAGUC
This 460-nucleotide ribosomal RNA is filed under the name uncultured bacterium. RNAcentral's name for it is "partial 16S ribosomal RNA". It matches the Rfam family "Bacterial small subunit ribosomal RNA", at positions 338 to 795 of the family's 1533-position model. The record is from RNAcentral.